GUACUUGUUUGGCAGCACUUUUACUAAAAUUGGGAAUACACAGAGAAGAUUAGCAUAGCCCCUGCACAGCGAUGACACAGAAAUGCUGCAAGCAACCCACAGCUUU
RNAcentral lists this small nuclear RNA (106 nucleotides) under Microtus ochrogaster (prairie vole). The record is from RNAcentral. Lineage: Eukaryota; Metazoa; Chordata; Mammalia; Rodentia; Cricetidae.